Molecule: ribosomal RNA, 424 nt
Filed under: uncultured bacterium
Lineage: Bacteria
Description: bacterial SSU rRNA
Rfam family: Bacterial small subunit ribosomal RNA
Source: RNAcentral
UGGGGAAUAUUGCACAAUGGGCGCAAGCCUGAUGCAGCCAUGUAGCGUGAAGGAUGACUGCCCUAUGGGUUGUAAACUUCUUUUAUACGGGAAUAAAGUGAGGCACGUGUGCCUUUUUGUAUGUACCGUAUGAAUAAGGAUCGGCUAACUCCGUGCCAGCAGCCGCGGUAAUACGGAGGAUCCGAGCGUUAUCCGGAUUUAUUGGGUUUAAAGGGAGCGUAGGUGGACAGUUAAGUCAGUUGUGAAAGUUUGCGGCUCAACCGUAAAAUUGCAGUUGAUACUGGCUGUCUUGAGUACAGUAGAGGUGGGCGGAAUUCGUGGUGUAGCGGUGAAAUGCUUAGAUAUCACGAAGAACUCCGAUUGCGAAGGCAGCUCACUGGACUGCAACUGACACUGAUGCUCGAAAGUGUGGGUAUCAAACAGG